RNAcentral lists this ribosomal RNA (465 nucleotides) under Vreelandella stevensii. RNAcentral describes it as "partial 16S ribosomal RNA". It matches the Rfam family "Bacterial small subunit ribosomal RNA", at positions 338 to 795 of the family's 1533-position model. Lineage: Bacteria; Pseudomonadati; Pseudomonadota; Gammaproteobacteria; Oceanospirillales; Halomonadaceae. The record is from RNAcentral.
CCUAAGGGGGGCUGCAGUGGGGAAUAUUGGACAAUGGGGGCAACCCUGAUCCAGCCAUGCCGCGUGUGUGAAGAAGGCCCUCGGGUUGUAAAGCACUUUCAGUGAGGAAGAACGCCUGGUGGUUAAUACCCAUCAGGAAAGACAUCACUCACAGAAGAAGCACCGGCUAACUCCGUGCCAGCAGCCGCGGUAAUACGGAGGGUGCGAGCGUUAAUCGGAAUUACUGGGCGUAAAGCGCGCGUAGGUGGCUUGAUAAGCCGGUUGUGAAAGCCCCGGGCUCAACCUGGGAACGGCAUCCGGAACUGUCAAGCUAGAGUGCAGGAGAGGAAGGUAGAAUUCCCGGUGUAGCGGUGAAAUGCGUAGAGAUCGGGAGGAAUACCAGUGGCGAAGGCGGCCUUCUGGACUGACACUGACACUGAGGUGCGAAAGCGUGGGUAGCAAACAGGAUUAGAUACCCGUGUAGUC